This is a long non-coding RNA of Quercus robur (English oak), 786 nucleotides long. RefSeq lists it as uncharacterized. The transcript is spliced from 2 exons. Lineage: Eukaryota; Viridiplantae; Streptophyta; Magnoliopsida; Fagales; Fagaceae. The record is from RefSeq and is a predicted model, not a curated record.
GCCUUAACACUCAUACAAACUGAAGUUUAAACGUUCCGUCAGUUUCUUCCAAUUAAGUUUGUUUCAUUACUUUCGUUGUUGUCAUCUUCUCUCAAUUGAAAAUCCAAGAAAAAAACAUAUUUCUCGCAAACCAUAGCAACAGAAGAGUACACAUAGGUGUUUUGGGAUACUAUUCAUAUCUCUGGGACUACUCAGUCGAAAUGGAUAAGCCCUCAAUAGUGAGUUACCAGAGGAUACUCUUGGAAGUAGGAUCUGAAGAUUCCACAGAAGUCAGAGAUUGAGGAAUUCUUCAUAAAGAAAUCUCUCUCUGUGACUUUUUGAGCCUCAGUUUGCAACAGAAACUUAUGCUUUGGUUAGCACUCACGUGGAUUGAAAGGAGAAUCCAGAAGCAUGUGUUGAAGGCUGAUCUUCCUGGGCUUAAGAAAGAGGAAGUGAAGAAUGAAGUUGAAUAUGAUAGAUUGGAGUACUACAAAUAAGUGGAGAAGGAAGAAAAGAAUGACAAGCGGCAUGGAGUGGAGCAUUGCAGUGGAUGCUGGAUGCAGUGGAGAAUUGCACUUUCACUAUGAUGGUCCCUAAGUAAGGCUUUGAGCUAGGGGGUGGCUUUAUCUUGGCUGUGUGGCAGUUUCAACUUUUGACUCUAUUACUAUUUAACUGCUGAGGUUUUUUUUUUUUUUUUUUUUUUUUUUUUUUUUUUUUUUUUUUUCAGAACUUAAUUUUUUCAGAACUUUUGUUUAGAACUUUUUGAAGUAUAGGGUUGUUUAUUUUAGAUAAUAUUGGUUGAUUAAA